RNAcentral lists this ribosomal RNA (730 nucleotides) under bacterium SCSIO13196. RNAcentral's name for it is "bacterial SSU rRNA". It matches the Rfam family "Bacterial small subunit ribosomal RNA", at positions 73 to 788 of the family's 1533-position model. The record is from RNAcentral.
AAGGAGCUUGCUCCUUUGAAGUUAGCGGCGGACGGGUGAGUAACACGUGGGUAACCUACCUAUAAGACUGGAAUAACUUCGGGAAACCGGAGCUAAUGCCGGAUAACAUUUGGAACCGCAUGGUUCUAAAGUAAAAGAUGGUUUUGCUAUCACUUAUAGAUGGACCCGCGCCGUAUUAGCUAGUUGGUAAGGUAACGGCUUACCAAGGCAACGAUACGUAGCCGACCUGAGAGGGUGAUCGGCCACACUGGAACUGAGACACGGUCCAGACUCCUACGGGAGGCAGCAGUAGGGAAUCUUCCGCAAUGGACGAAAGUCUGACGGAGCAACGCCGCGUGAGUGAUGAAGGUUUUCGGAUCGUAAAACUCUGUUAUUAGGGAAGAACAAAUGUGUAAGUAACUGUGCACAUCUUGACGGUACCUAAUCAGAAAGCCACGGCUAACUACGUGCCAGCAGCCGCGGUAAUACGUAGGUGGCAAGCGUUAUCCGGAAUUAUUGGGCGUAAAGCGCGCGUAGGCGGUUUCUUAAGUCUGAUGUGAAAGCCCACGGCUCAACCGUGGAGGGUCAUUGGAAACUGGGAAACUUGAGUACAGAAGAGGAAAGUGGAAUUCCAUGUGUAGCGGUGAAAUGCGCAGAGAUAUGGAGGAACACCAGUGGCGAAGGCGACUUUCUGGUCUGUAACUGACGCUGAUGUGCGAAAGCGUGGGGAUCAAACAGGAUUAGAUACCCU